This 497-nucleotide ribosomal RNA is filed under the name uncultured bacterium. Its description in RNAcentral is "partial 16S ribosomal RNA". It matches the Rfam family "Bacterial small subunit ribosomal RNA", at positions 28 to 507 of the family's 1533-position model. The record is from RNAcentral.
GACGAACGCUGGCGGCGUGCCUAAUACAUGCAAGUAGAACGCUGAAGGAAGGAGCUUGCUCUUUCUGGAUGAGUUGCGAACGGGUGAGUAACGCGUAGGUAACCUGCCUGGUAGCGGGGGAUAACUAUUGGAAACGAUAGCUAAUACCGCAUAAAAUUGAUUAUUGCAUGAUAGUCAAUUAAAAGGUGCAACUGCACCACUACCAGAUGGACUUGCGUUGUAUUAGCUAGUUGGUGGGGUAACGGCUCACCAAGGCGACGGUACCUAGCCGACCUGAGAGGGUGGUCGGCCACCCUGGGACUGAGACACGGCCCAGACUCCUUCGGGGAGCAGCAGUAGGGAAUCUUCGGGCAUUGACGGAAGUCUGACCGAGCCACGCCGCGUGAGUGAAGAAGGUUUUCGGGUCGUUAAGCUCUGUUUUUAGGGAAGAACGAGUGUGAGAGUGGAAAGUGCACACUGUGACGGUAUCUUACCAGAAAGGGACGGCUAACUACGUG